CGCCUAUCGAUAAGUUAUGAUAGGUCUAGCCUGCCCAGUGAAUAUUCAACGGCCGCGGUAUACUAACCGUGCAAAGGUAGCGCAAUCACUUGUCUCCUAAAUAGGGACUAGUAUGAACGGCAUCACGAGGAUUUAACUGUCUCCUCCCCCUAAUCUGUGAAACUAAUCUCCCCGUGAAAAAGCAGGGAUAAAUAUAUAAGACGAGAAGACCCUAUGGAACUUUAAACAAAUAACAACUGCUUCUACCACAAGCCUUUCUGAAAGUUAAAAUUUAUUAGCAUAAUGAUUAUAAGUUUUCGGUUGGGGUGACCACGGAGAAAAAAUUAACCUCCACGAUGCAACGAACCUAAAUUCAAAAUUAUAAGCUACAACUUUACGAAUCAACAAAUUGACAUUAUUGACCCAACUUUUUGAUCAACGAACUAAGCUACCCUAGGGAUAACAGCGCAAUCUAUUUUGAGAGUACAUAUCGACACAUAGGCUUACGACCUCGAUGUUGGAUCAGGGUCUCCUAGUGGUGCAGCCACUACUUAAGGUUCGUUUGUUCAACGAUUAAAACCCU
This 562-nucleotide ribosomal RNA is filed under the name Craugastor aff. longirostris BOLD:AAB4967. RNAcentral's name for it is "partial 16S ribosomal RNA". It matches the Rfam family "Bacterial large subunit ribosomal RNA", at positions 1824 to 2597 of the family's 2925-position model. Lineage: Eukaryota; Metazoa; Chordata; Amphibia; Anura; Craugastoridae. The record is from RNAcentral.